GAGUUUGAUCAUGGCUCAGGAUGAACGCUGGCGGCGUGCCUAAUACAUGCAAGUCGAGCGAACGGACGAGAAGCUUGCUUCUCUGAUGUUAGCGGCGGACGGGUGAGUAACACGUGGAUAACCUACCUAUAAGACUGGGAUAACUUCGGGAAACCGGAGCUAAUACCGGAUAAUAUUUUGAACCGCAUGGUUCAAAAGUGAAAGACGGUCUUGCUGUCACUUAUAGAUGGAUCCGCGCUGCAUUAGCUAGUUGGUAAGGUAACGGCUUACCAAGGCAACGAUGCAUAGCCGACCUGAGAGGGUGAUCGGCCACACUGGAACUGAGACACGGUCCAGACUCCUACGGGAGGCAGCAGUAGGGAAUCUUCCGCAAUGGGCGAAAGCCUGACGGAGCAACGCCGCGUGAGUGAUGAAGGUCUUCGGAUCGUAAAACUCUGUUAUUAGGGAGAACAUAUGUGUAAGUAACUGUGCACAUCUUGACGGUACCUAAUCAGAAGGCCACGGCUAACUAC
RNAcentral lists this ribosomal RNA (512 nucleotides) under uncultured microorganism. RNAcentral describes it as "bacterial SSU rRNA". It matches the Rfam family "Bacterial small subunit ribosomal RNA", at positions 9 to 504 of the family's 1533-position model. The record is from RNAcentral.